CCCAAGGGGUCUCGCGACCACCCCGUGAGACUUUGGUCUAAGGUUCGCAUCCACUGACCUUUUCAGAAAGGAUGCCUUAUG
Molecule: non-coding RNA, 81 nt
Filed under: unclassified sequences
Description: chrB RNA
Rfam family: chrB-a RNA
Source: RNAcentral